AAUCUAUGGUGUAGGCACUUCUAAAUUAGCAUAUUAAAAAGCUCCCAUACUUCAUGAAAGCUUUCCCUUUCUAAUUGUUUGAACAUCGAAAUUUCCCUUCUUAGUUU
Gossypium hirsutum (cotton) is the source of this 107-nucleotide non-coding RNA. NCBI's taxonomy places the organism in Eukaryota, Viridiplantae, Streptophyta, Magnoliopsida, Malvales, Malvaceae. The record is from Rfam.